Long non-coding RNA from Alosa sapidissima (American shad), 481 nucleotides. RefSeq lists it as uncharacterized. The record is from RefSeq and is a predicted model, not a curated record. NCBI's taxonomy places the organism in Eukaryota, Metazoa, Chordata, Actinopteri, Clupeiformes, Clupeidae. The transcript has 4 exons.
UUCAGUGUUCAUUAGUGUUAAUUAGUGUAACAUCGGGAGUUGUUUGAACAAACAUGUACACCCACGGUGUAAUUAAAACUCACAACUUAGUGUUUUAAGUGGGUGUGAAUGUACGUACUCUGGGGUGGAGUCAUUUACACUUCCGGUUCUUCAGUUGAGAUUUUUGAAAAGAAGAUGGACGCCAUUGAAGUACAGCGUGGGAUAGUAAAAGGGUCAGCAAAAUGCUCAUCAAUGUCCAGUACCAUGGAGAAAAAAGUACCUCAAACUGCAGCCUGGUUUUUCUUUUGAAAGUUUCAUUCGAGAAGGCACAUCAGUCCACUGGUGCAAAAGAAGAGAACACCUCUGCCAUAGGAGAUUCAGCAGAAAAAGGUCAAACAGAUGGUCCAGGAGGUUCUGGAGAAGAGUUAAAUGGGAGAGGAAAUAAUGGAGGAGUAUAGUAGAGCACCUUGACACACUGUACAAAAAGGCAUCUUCUGAAUAU